UACAGAGGGCAGCCAAGUCGUGAGGCGGAGCAAAUCCCAAAAAUAACGUCUCAGUUCGGAUUGUAGUCUGCAACUCGACUACAUGAAGCUGGAAUCGCUAGUAAUCGCGAAUCAGAAUGUCGCGGUGAAUACGUUCCCGGGUCUUGUACACACCGCCCGUCACACCAUGGGAGUCAGCAACGCCCGAAGCCGGUGACCCAACCGAAAGGAGGGAGCCGUCGAAGGUGGGGCCGAUAACUGGGGUGAAGUCGUAACAAGGUACC
This 263-nucleotide ribosomal RNA is filed under the name uncultured bacterium. RNAcentral's name for it is "partial 16S ribosomal RNA". It matches the Rfam family "Bacterial small subunit ribosomal RNA", at positions 1238 to 1500 of the family's 1533-position model. The record is from RNAcentral.